This is a long non-coding RNA of Micropterus dolomieu (smallmouth bass), 257 nucleotides long. RefSeq lists it as uncharacterized. NCBI's taxonomy places the organism in Eukaryota, Metazoa, Chordata, Actinopteri, Centrarchiformes, Centrarchidae. The record is from RefSeq and is a predicted model, not a curated record. The transcript has 3 exons.
CUUGUGUCUUCAGUCUUUGUCACGUCCUUGUGUGUGCGUCUUGUUGAGUGUUCCGCCUUGUGCUCUGUUUUCCCUGUUCUGGAUUACCUUUGUUUGGACCUUUGCCCUGAGCUGCACAACGUUUCUGGAUGGAGUGCAGACAGCUGAGCUGCUGCAGCAGAGUCAAGUGCAGUGGGGUUAGGUUGAAUGGCUUGGAUUCCUGACCAGUCUGUUAAAAUUGAAGAAGCCUCUUGGAUGAGAGGCAAAACGCCUUUGAG